This 497-nucleotide ribosomal RNA is filed under the name uncultured bacterium. Its description in RNAcentral is "partial 16S ribosomal RNA". It matches the Rfam family "Bacterial small subunit ribosomal RNA", at positions 28 to 507 of the family's 1533-position model. The record is from RNAcentral.
GAUGAACGCUGGCGGCGUGCCUAAUACAUGCAAGUCGAGCGAACGGACGAGAAGCUUGCUUCUCUGAUGUUAGCGGCGGACGGGUGAGUAACACGUGGAUAACCUACCUAUAAGACUGGGAUAACUUCGGGAAACCGGAGCUAAUACCGGAUAAUAUUUUGAACCGCAUGGUUCAAAAGUGAAAGACGGUCUUGCUGUCACUUAUAGAUGGAUCCGCGCUGCAUUAGCUAGUUGGUAAGGUAACGGCUUACCAAGGCAACGAUGCAUAGCCGACCUGAGAGGGUGAUCGGCCACACUGGAACUUGGACACGGUCCAGACUCCUACGAGAGGCAGCAGUAGGGAAUCUUCCGCAAUGGGCGAAAGCCUGACGGAGCAACGCCGCGUGAGUGUUGAAGGUCUUCGGAUCGUAAAACUCUGUUAUUAGGGAAGAACAUAUGUGUAAGUAACUGUGCACAUCUUGACGGUACCUAAUCAGAAAGCCACGGCUAACUACGUG